This 253-nucleotide ribosomal RNA is filed under the name uncultured bacterium. Its description in RNAcentral is "partial 16S ribosomal RNA". It matches the Rfam family "Bacterial small subunit ribosomal RNA", at positions 524 to 776 of the family's 1533-position model. The record is from RNAcentral.
UACGGAGGGGGCUAGCGUUGUUCGGAAUUACUGGGCGUAAAGCGCACGUAGGCGGCUUUGCAAGUCAGAGGUGAAAGCCCGGGGCUCAACCCCGGAAUAGCCUUUGAGACUGCAUCGAUUGAACAUCGGAGAGGUAAGUGGAAUUCCGAGUGUAGAGGUGAAAUUCGUAGAUAUUCGGAAGAACACCAGUGGCGAAGGCGACUUACUGGACGAUUGUUGACGCUGAGGUGCGAAAGCGUGGGGAGCAAACAGG